RNAcentral lists this long non-coding RNA (287 nucleotides) under Nicotiana benthamiana. RNAcentral's name for it is "long non-coding RNA (NBEN_LNC020402)". Lineage: Eukaryota; Viridiplantae; Streptophyta; Magnoliopsida; Solanales; Solanaceae. The record is from RNAcentral.
AGGAUCUGACGCUGAUGCUGCAACAUUUUGAAGCUGAGUCCGUGCAACAUAGGUUUAAGCAAAUAAAAGAUCAUAAGAAAUACCUUAAGGCUGUUAUCGGAAGUUGAUCUAACCUGAAGAGGACUAGUAGUAGUAAUAAUAGUAGUAGUUGUGGAGGUGUUGAUUGAGACAUUGUGAUUACUUGCACACACCAGCCUUGUCCUUAUAGUAAAAGAUGAUUUGGGGAGUAGAAUAGGUGCUGAAAGAGUGUAUAUCAUAGCCAUUGAUCCUAAUGGAGAAGAUGGUGG